AGCUCCAGUAGCGUAUAUUAAAGUUGUUGCAGUUAAAAAGCUCGUAGUUGGAUUUCUGGUUUGACAAGAAUGAGGUCGCUAGCCGUCAGGCGCGUGGCCCAGUACUCGUCUGCCAUCCUUCUAGAAAGCGCGCCUACCCUUGAUUGGGCGGGGCGCGGGCUCUAGAUCUUUUACUUUGAAGAAAUUAGAGUGUUCAAAGCAGGCUUGCGCUAUGAAUACAUUAGCAUGGAAUAAUAACUUAGGACUUAGGUUCUAUUUUGUUGGUCUAUAGAACUUGAGUAAUGAUUGAUAGGGAUAGUUGGGGGUGCUAGUAUUCAGCGGCCAGAGGUGAAAUUCUUGGAUUCGCUGAAGACUAACUUAUGCGAAAGCAUUCGCCAAGGAUGUCUUCUUUA
RNAcentral lists this ribosomal RNA (392 nucleotides) under Pseudopirsonia sp. Its description in RNAcentral is "partial small subunit ribosomal RNA". It matches the Rfam family "Eukaryotic small subunit ribosomal RNA", at positions 587 to 975 of the family's 1831-position model. The record is from RNAcentral. Lineage: Eukaryota; Cercozoa; Imbricatea; Marimonadida.